GUCGAGAAUCUUUCACAAUGGGGGCAACCCUGAUGGAGCGACGCCGCGUGGAGGAUAAGGUCUUCGGAUUGUAAACUCCUGUCAUGCGUGAACAAGGUUGCUUGGUUAAUACCUGGGCAAAUUGAUGGUAACGCAAGAGGAAGAGACGGCUAACUCUGUGCCAGCAGCCGCGGUAAUACAGAGGUCUCAAGCGUUGUUCGGAAUCACUGGGCGUAAAGGGUGCGUAGGUGGCGUGGUAAGUCAGAUGUGAAAGCCCGGGGCUCAACCUCGGAACUGCAUCCGAUACUGCCAUGCUAGAGUACUGGAGAGGUGACUAGAAUUCUCGGUGUAGCAGUGAAAUGCGUAGAUAUCGAGAGGAAUACCAAAGGCGUAGGCAGGUCACUGGACAGUUACUGACACUGAGGCACGAAGGCCAGGGGAGCGAACGGGAUUAGAUACCCGAGUAGUCC
This 449-nucleotide ribosomal RNA is filed under the name uncultured bacterium. RNAcentral's name for it is "bacterial SSU rRNA". It matches the Rfam family "Bacterial small subunit ribosomal RNA", at positions 354 to 796 of the family's 1533-position model. The record is from RNAcentral.